GUUUUUAUAAUUUAAUUAAAAAUUUUGAUCUUGUAAAUCAAAUUUAAGUUUACCUUUAAAAACU
Molecule: transfer RNA, 64 nt
Filed under: Hydromanicus huapingensis
Lineage: Eukaryota; Metazoa; Arthropoda; Insecta; Trichoptera; Hydropsychidae
Description: tRNA-Thr
Source: RNAcentral